This 559-nucleotide ribosomal RNA is filed under the name Chaetomium globosum. RNAcentral's name for it is "eukaryotic LSU rRNA". The stretch from base 187 to 340 matches the Rfam family "5.8S ribosomal RNA". Lineage: Eukaryota; Fungi; Ascomycota; Sordariomycetes; Sordariales; Chaetomiaceae. The record is from RNAcentral.
AGGGAUCAUUACAGAGUUGCAAAACUCCCUAAACCAUUGUGAACGUUACCUAUACCGUUGCUUCGGCGGGCGGCCCCGGGGUUUACCCCCCGGGCGCCCCUGGGCCCCACCGCGGGCGCCCGCCGGAGGUCACCAAACUCUUGAUAAUUUAUGGCCUCUCUGAGUCUUCUGUACUGAAUAAGUCAAAACUUUCAACAACGGAUCUCUUGGUUCUGGCAUCGAUGAAGAACGCAGCGAAAUGCGAUAAGUAAUGUGAAUUGCAGAAUUCAGUGAAUCAUCGAAUCUUUGAACGCACAUUGCGCCCGCCAGCAUUCUGGCGGGCAUGCCUGUUCGAGCGUCAUUUCAACCAUCAAGCCCCCGGGCUUGUGUUGGGGACCUGCGGCUGCCGCAGGCCCUGAAAAGCAGUGGCGGGCUCGCUGUCGCACCGAGCGUAGUAGCAUACAUCUCGCUCUGGUCGCGCCGCGGGUUCCGGCCGUUAAACCACCUUUUAACCCAAGGUUGACCUCGGAUCAGGUAGGAAGACCCGCUGAACUUAAGCAUAUCAUAAGCCGGAGGAAAC